Molecule: ribosomal RNA, 320 nt
Filed under: uncultured archaeon
Lineage: Archaea
Description: bacterial SSU rRNA
Rfam family: Archaeal small subunit ribosomal RNA
Source: RNAcentral
UUGGUUAAGUCAGGCAACGAGCGAGAUCCGCGCCUUUAUUUGCCAGCAAGAAGUCACGACUUCGUUGGGAACACUAAAGGGACCGCCGUCGAUAAGACGGAGGAAGGAGCGGGCAAAGGCAGGUCAGUAUGCCCCGAAACCCCUGGGCUACACGCGGGCUGCAAUGGUAUGAACAAUGGGCUGUAACUCCGAAAGGAGAAACCAAUCCCGAAAUCAUAUCUCAGUGGGGAUUGUCGGCUGUAACCCGCCGACAUGAACGUGGAAUCCCUAGUAAUCGUGUGUCAUCAUCGCACGGUGAAUACGUCCCUGCUCCUUGCACA